GGAGAGGUGGCAGAGUGGUCGAAUGCGGCGGUCUCGAAAACCGUUAUAGGGGCAACUUUAUCGAGGGUUCGAAUCCCUCCUUCUCCG
RNAcentral lists this transfer RNA (87 nucleotides) under Bacteroidota bacterium. RNAcentral's name for it is "tRNA-Ser". It matches the Rfam family "tRNA". Rfam says of the family: Transfer RNA (tRNA) molecules are approximately 80 nucleotides in length. Their secondary structure includes four short double-helical elements and three loops (D, anti-codon, and T loops). Lineage: Bacteria; Pseudomonadati; Bacteroidota. The record is from RNAcentral.